This is a long non-coding RNA of Aegilops tauschii subsp. strangulata, 901 nucleotides long. RefSeq lists it as uncharacterized. The record is from RefSeq and is a predicted model, not a curated record. Lineage: Eukaryota; Viridiplantae; Streptophyta; Magnoliopsida; Poales; Poaceae.
GCAAUAACUCUUAUUUAUCUUCGGUCACCAGCUUGCCACAUGAGCAAUUUUUUUCAACAAGCCGUGUUGUAUUUUGUUUCAGGGGUAACAAAAUCAUGUUGGUAGCCCAAGCGAGCCUCUUUGGGCUUCCGUAACUGAUGAGGCGGCGUAAUAACCCAUAAAGAGAAGCCCACCGGUGGAUCUCUUCUUAUCCCUUCCUCUUCAUGCCAGCAGAACAAGCGAUGCCACCACACGCACCAUCGAUGCCCUGCAGCCGACUGCUCCGGCGUUCUUCCGCGCGGGCGAGCAGAGGCACCCCAUGGCACCACCUCCUCAUCUCCUUCUCCUGGCGCGCGAAUACCUCAACGGAGCGACCUCCAUCGCGUCAUCGAUCUGGCCGCCGCCUCACUUGCGGCUCAAUCUGAUCUGGGAGAGAUGGUGAGGGGUGGGGGUGGCCGAGUAAGGGGAGAGGGAGAUCCGGUGCAGGAUGACCUCCACGACUCUGCCUCCUCGAGGACGACUUCCACCACCUCCCUGCUGCCCAGAAGCGACGAGGUCGCCGCCUCUCGGCAACUUCCCGUGCUCCCUCAGAAAUUCCCCUUCAGAUAGUUGAGCGGCAUCGCUCCCAUAGUCUUCAGCAUCAGCAGGGCUCCUAAUUCCAUGGCUUGCCUUUGUCUUUUGGCGGGCAUAUUUAUAGUUGAGGGAUCUUUUAUUCCAUUUCAAUUUGCUUUGGAAAUCUUCUGCCGUCUCAAUUUCUCAUGUCAAGGAAUAUAGCUGUAUUUUUCUUGGAAUUUUCAUUUGCCUUGCAAUGCUAAUGGAGAAAAGGCAACAAAAUUAUUUGAGGGAUAGAGAUUGUUAACGAACAGAUCAUCAAACUAUUUGCCAUGGAAAUUGCUAUUUAGAGACCUGGUGCAUUUGGAAA